RNAcentral lists this ribosomal RNA (253 nucleotides) under uncultured prokaryote. Its description in RNAcentral is "partial 16S ribosomal RNA". It matches the Rfam family "Bacterial small subunit ribosomal RNA", at positions 525 to 777 of the family's 1533-position model. The record is from RNAcentral.
ACGUAGGGUGCAAGCGUUAAUCGGAAUUACUGGGCGUAAAGCGUGCGCAGGCGGUUGUGCAAGACAGAUGUGAAAUCCCCAGGCUUAACCUGGGAACUGCAUCCGAUACUGGAUGGCUUGAAUUCGGGAGAGGGAUGCAGAAUUCCAGGUGUAGCGGUGAAAUGCGUAGAUAUCUGGAGGAAUACCGGUGGCGAAGGCGGCAUCCUGGACCGAGAUUGACGCUGAUGAGCGAAAGCUAGGGGAGCAAACGGGA